Molecule: unclassified non-coding RNA, 347 nt
Filed under: soil metagenome
Description: partial contains 5.8S ribosomal RNA, internal transcribed spacer 2, and large subunit ribosomal RNA
Rfam family: 5.8S ribosomal RNA (bases 1-120)
Source: RNAcentral
GAUGAAGAACGUAGCGAAAUGCGAUAAAUAAUGUGAAUUGCAGAAUUCAGUGAAUCAUCGAGUCUUUGAACGCACAUUGCGCCCCCUGGUAUUCCGGGGGGCAUGCCUGUCCGAGAGUCAUUGCUGCCCUCAAGCACGGCUUGUGUGUUGGGCCCCCGUCCCCCCCUCCCGGGGGACGGGCCCGAAAGGCAGCGGCGGCACCGCGUCCGGUCCUCGAGCGUAUGGGGCUUUGUCACCCGCUCUGUAGGCCCGGCCGGCGCCUGCCGACCACCAUCAAUCUUUUUUCAGGUUGACCUCGGAUCAGGUAGGGAUACCCGCUGAACUUAAGCAUAUCAAUAAGCGGAGGA